RNAcentral lists this transfer RNA (87 nucleotides) under Sorangiineae bacterium NIC37A_2. RNAcentral's name for it is "tRNA-Leu". It matches the Rfam family "tRNA". From Rfam's summary of the family: Transfer RNA (tRNA) molecules are approximately 80 nucleotides in length. Their secondary structure includes four short double-helical elements and three loops (D, anti-codon, and T loops). Lineage: Bacteria; Pseudomonadati; Myxococcota; Myxococcia; Myxococcales. The record is from RNAcentral.
GCCGAAGUGGCGGAAUGGCAGACGCAGCGGAUUCAAAAUCCGCCGAGGCAACCCCUCGUGGAGGUUCGACCCCUCUCUUCGGCACAA